This 342-nucleotide long non-coding RNA is filed under the name Hordeum vulgare. Its description in RNAcentral is "long non-coding RNA (HVUL_LNC017405)". The record is from RNAcentral. Lineage: Eukaryota; Viridiplantae; Streptophyta; Magnoliopsida; Poales; Poaceae.
GGGCGGGAUGCUGGUGCAGAAGCGGGGCGCCGAGGAGGACGAGCCGGCGCCGGCGAGCGUGAAGCCCGUGCCCACCAUCCGGGUCAAGGCCAAGCUCGCCGGCAAGACCCACGAGAUCUACAUCACCGCGGAGGCCACGUUUGGCGACCUGCGGAAGCUGGUGGCGGAGCGCGCCGGCGCGCACCCGGAGGACCUGCGGACGCUGUACAAGGGCAAGGAGCAGGACCCCAAGGCGUUCCUCGACAUGGCCGGCGUCAGGGACCGCUCCAAGGUCGCCGUCGUCGACGACCCCGAGGCCCGCGCGCGCCGGCUGCUCGAGGAGCUCCGCCUCGGCAGCCUCCG